RNAcentral lists this ribosomal RNA (395 nucleotides) under uncultured bacterium. RNAcentral's name for it is "bacterial SSU rRNA". It matches the Rfam family "Bacterial small subunit ribosomal RNA", at positions 361 to 773 of the family's 1533-position model. The record is from RNAcentral.
UUUUUGGACAAUGGGGGAAACCCUGAUCCAGCCAUGCCGCGUGAGUGAUGAAGGCCUUAGGGUUGUAAAGCUCUUUCGCCUGCGACGAUGAUGACGGUAGCAGGAGAAGAAGCCCCGGCUAAUUCCGUGCCAGCAGCCGCGGUAAUACGGAAGGGGCUAGCGUUGUUCGGAAUUACUGGGCGUAAAGCGCGCGUAGGCGGCUUGUCAAGUGAGGCGUGAAAGUCCUGGGCUCAACCUGGGGACGGCGCUUCAGACUGUCUGGCUUGAGUCCGGAAGAGGGUGGUGGAAUUCCGAGUGUAGAGGUGAAAUUCGUAGAUAUUCGGAGGAACACCGGUGGCGAAGGCGGCCACCUGGUCCGGUACUGACGCUCAAGUGCGAAAGCGUGGGGAGCAAAC